This 402-nucleotide ribosomal RNA is filed under the name uncultured Debaryomyces. RNAcentral's name for it is "SSU rRNA". It matches the Rfam family "Eukaryotic small subunit ribosomal RNA", at positions 554 to 962 of the family's 1831-position model. Lineage: Eukaryota; Fungi; Ascomycota; Saccharomycetes; Saccharomycetales; Saccharomycetaceae. The record is from RNAcentral.
UGCAAGUCUGGUGCCAGCAGCCGCGGUAAUUCCAGCUCCAAUAGCGUAUAUUAAAGUUGUUGCAGUUAAAAAGCUCGUAGUUGGACCUUGGGCUUGGUUGGCCGGUCCGCCUUUUUGGCGAGUACUGGACCCAACCGAGCCUUUCCUUCUGGCUAACCUUUCGCCCUUGUGGUGUUUGGCGAACCAGGACUUUUACUUUGAAAAAAUUAGAGUGUUCAAAGCAGGCCUUUGCUCGAAUAUAUUAGCAUGGAAUAAUAGAAUAGGACGUUAUGGUUCUAUUUUGUUGGUUUCUAGGACCAUCGUAAUGAUUAAUAGGGACGGUCGGGGGCAUCAGUAUUCAGUUGUCAGAGGUGAAAUUCUUGGAUUACCUGAAGACUAACUACUGCGAAAGCAUUUGCCAAA